RNAcentral lists this transfer RNA (75 nucleotides) under Gemmiger formicilis. Its description in RNAcentral is "tRNA-Gly". It matches the Rfam family "tRNA". From Rfam's summary of the family: Transfer RNA (tRNA) molecules are approximately 80 nucleotides in length. The record is from RNAcentral. Lineage: Bacteria; Bacillati; Bacillota; Clostridia; Eubacteriales; Oscillospiraceae. RNAcentral also lists the same sequence under 17 other names.
GCAGGUGUCGUACAACGGCUAGUACAUCAGCCUUCCAAGCUGAGGACGUGGGUUCGACUCCCAUCACCUGCUCCA